This 270-nucleotide ribosomal RNA is filed under the name uncultured archaeon. RNAcentral describes it as "partial 16S ribosomal RNA". It matches the Rfam family "Archaeal small subunit ribosomal RNA", at positions 477 to 747 of the family's 1478-position model. The record is from RNAcentral.
CAGCACCUCAAGUGGUCAGGAUGAUUAUUGGGCCUAAAGCAUCCGUAGCCGGCUCUGUAAGUUUUCGGUUAAAUCUGUACGCUCAACGUACAGGCUGCCGGGAAUACUGCAGAGCUAGGGAGUGGGAGAGGUAGACGGUACUCGGUAGGAAGGGGUAAAAUCCUUUGAUCUAUUGAUGACCACCUGUGGCGAAGGCGGUCUACCAGAACACGUCCGACGGUGAGGGAUGAAAGCUGGGGGAGCAAAACGGAUUAGAUACCCGAGUAGUCC